RNAcentral lists this ribosomal RNA (478 nucleotides) under uncultured bacterium. RNAcentral's name for it is "bacterial SSU rRNA". It matches the Rfam family "Bacterial small subunit ribosomal RNA", at positions 21 to 518 of the family's 1533-position model. The record is from RNAcentral.
GGCUCAGGACGAACGCUGGCGGCGUGCUUCAUACAUGCAAGUCGAACGAGAAGUUGACUUCGGUCAAUGGAAAGUGGCGGACGGGUGAGUAAAAUGUAGAGAAUCUGCCCUAGAGAGGGGGACAACAGUUGGAAACGACUGCUAAUACCGCAUAUGAGCGUACCUGCAAUGGUAUUCUUGAAAGAUUUAUCGCUCUGGGAUGAGUCUGCAUCUGAUUAGUUAGUUGGCGGUGUAAUGGACCACCAAGACGACGAUCAGUAGCUGGUUUGAGAGGAUGAUCAGCCACAAUGGGACUGAGACACGGCCCAUACUCCUACGGGAGGCAGCAGUAGGGAAUUUUGCGCAAUGGGCGAAAGCCUGAACCGCAGCAACGCCGCGUGAUUGAAUAAGCCCUUCGGGGUGUAAAGAUCUGUCAGUGGGGACGAAACUUGACGGUACCCACAGAGGAAGCAUCGGCUAACUCCGUGCCAGCCGCGGC